GGGUCAGUAGGUUGGUCGUGCCACCGGUACGUACUGGUCUCACUGAUUCCUCCUUCCUGAAGAACCGUAAUGCCAUUAAUUUGGUGUUGCGGGGAAACAGGACUGUUACUUUGAAAAAAUUGGAGUGUUUAAAGCAAGCUAACGCUUGAAUACAUGAGCAUGGAAUAAUGAAAUAGGACGAUCGAUCCUAUUUUGUUGGUUUCUAGGAUUGACGUA
Molecule: ribosomal RNA, 216 nt
Filed under: Glomeromycotina sp.
Lineage: Eukaryota; Fungi; Glomeromycota
Description: partial small subunit ribosomal RNA
Rfam family: Eukaryotic small subunit ribosomal RNA (bases 40-216)
Source: RNAcentral